Molecule: long non-coding RNA, 2212 nt
Organism: Passer montanus (Eurasian tree sparrow)
Lineage: Eukaryota; Metazoa; Chordata; Aves; Passeriformes; Passeridae
Exons: 3
Source: RefSeq, a predicted model, not a curated record
GGCCCGGCUCGGAGGGGACGGAGCGCCGCGUACUGACCUGGGCUGCGGGCGAGGCGAGGACGCUGCGCGGCGAUGGCCCCCCCGGCGCGGAGCGCGCCACCGACGGACUCAGCCCGUGACGGAGCCCCUGGAUCCCUGCAAGUGUCCAAGGCCAGGCUGGACAGUGGAAAGGAGAUUUCCUGCUAAGCUUCCAAGGAGUUUCUUCCCAUCCUUGCUUAAGGGAAGCUGAAACAUGACAUUCCUUAUUCGCAGGCAGCCAUCCCAGCGCGCUUCUGGCUCCCAGGAAAUUUCCCUGGAAUGCACGCCUGAGAGCACCACUGGCAUUAAGAGCACCUCUUCUGCCUGAAGCCGAAGCCUUUUUUGUUCAUUUUGCAGCCCUUUUUUGUUCAUUUGCAGCCUCUUUGGGCUCGUUUGUUGCUCUUUGGCUGCUGAGGUUUUGCAGAGUUGUUCUGCCCUCUUUGCUGAGGCCAGCCCUGCGCUGGGAUGGAUGGGGGAGUCUGUGUAUCAAUACCCUCAGGAAUUAUUUCUGAGUGCCAAGAGAGCUGUGGGUGAAGGCUGUCAGGGCCAGAGGGUUUCCAAGGCAGGGCAGUAUUUGCCAAGGCAACAGGUCUGCUUGCUGGUGGCUGGAGCAGGGCACCAGGUUGGGGGUCUGUCCUCCCCUGUAGUCUCCAUUUCUGCUCCAGCCAGGGGGGGAUUUGGUCCCAAACCCUUUAAACGUGGGUUCCAACCAGCCCAGCUGCCUUCCCUGGCUGCACUGCUGGAGCAGUUUGGAAACAGGAAACGAGAGGAGAGAACUGUGCCCUGGAAGUUGCCAUGGAGUGUAAGUUCUACCUUCAGGUUUUGAUUGAUGCUGUACCUGUGGCUGUGGGUGUGAGUACGUGUCUCUAUUAAUACCCAGUCUAGGCUAACCUGUGCAUAAUGGCAGAAAAUUAAACCUUUGUCGUUGCUCGUGGAAAUUAGCCCUCAGAGAUUCACAAGGGAAAGGCUUCUUGCUAUAUGUUAAAUCCAACAUAUUGGCUAUAGCUGUAUAUAGUCUGUUUUUACUGUAUUUGCAGCUGAAAAACUUACUCAGAAGCCUGUUGAAGCAAAAAAUAAAAAUCUAAAAUAAAAACCAACACCCUGGCAGAGCUAAUUCAUAAAGAUUUAAAUAAAAAGCAAUUACAGAACUUCCCGCCUACCUCCACCUCAUCUUUAGCUGAACUCCUUGUUUGUCAGGAAUGAUUCCAUUUUUUAUGUUCUCAAGCAGGAAACAGCCAUCACAACACUCCAGCUAAUUUCCCUCGCUAGUCACAGGGAGCUGCUGAAAGUAAAAGAGGAUGCUUCAGCUUUCCACUCCAACCCUGCCAUUCCACAGGCUAAAAAAAAGGAGGAUAGAGUUAGGAAGAGAGCCAGCAGGAACUUCCUCUGGAGCCUAGGCACCAAAGAUCUACUCCAAGUCACAGUGCCACUUGGGUCCUUGGAGGAAGUCAAGCCUAGGCACAAUUUCCAACCUGGUGAUGGCUCCUCUUCUUCCUCCUGAUCAUUCAGGCUGACCUUCCUUGGUUUUCCUGUCCCUCCAUCACCCUUUUGUGCUUUAUCUCCCAUUCCCUGUUCUCCAUCUGUCCCACAGUACACUGGUUUACUCCUUUUUGCCAUCAAAAGGAAAACCCCAUCAAACCCACACAGCUUACAAAACAGCUCUGAUGGGAGAAGGAAUAUUAAAUUUACGUUGCCCCCUCCUGUGUUUUCCUCCAACAUACCUCUUAUUGUGGAGUUUUCUUCUGUUAUUACUGGCUUUUUAAUCCUGGUGAGUUUUGCUUCAGCGGGAACUCCUCGUUCUCUCGUGGCCUCACAGCUCGCUCUGAGCCAGAGCAAGGUGGCUCUCCUCCACUCCUGAGCCCCCCACGCCUGUGUCUGGCUGCAGGAGCCGCUUCCCAGCUUGUCUGCACACCCAACACUUCAUCAAGCCUGCAGCACUCAGGGCCUGGAGAGCUGGAAUCCUGAAGCAGUAAGAGCCAGACUCUUAGAAACAAGUUAUUGCUGUUGUUUUGGGCAAAAUCAAGUCCCUGUUCCCUGCCUGGGGGGAGAAACAAGCAAGUGAAGUUCAAAAUGGAGGUCACAAAUGUAAAGUUGGCUUUCUUCUCCAUAUUUACACUAUAUUUUUGCUGAUGGAGAUACAUUGGAUUGUUAUGGCAGUCACUUUACAAUGACUGAGUAAAAUACACCUUUAAAA